UCCCCGCGGUCCCGCGUCCUCUCGCCCGCCCCUUUGGCCCGCCUCCCUCUGGCCUCGCCCCGCCUCGCCCAUCCGCCGCGGCGCGCUGAGCGGGGAGGCGCGAGGGAGCCGCCCCCGCGGUCUGCGCGCUCGCCCGUCUGCUCCCGAGUCCGCGUUCCAAGUGGAACCGGAGCCCGGGCGCGGGCGCCCACGUUCCAUUCCCGGGAAGGCCUGGGAAGGGAGGGAAUCGCUCACCCGCCAGCCCGCCUGCAGGGAAAGGGCUCCUGGAGCUGUCGAUGCCUGCCCGACGCUGAGAUAACUCUUGGGUCCCCGUUAUCCACCAGCCACUUCUGCCUCGAUUCACCAAAGUGCAGGGAAAGAACCUUUUGGUGAGAUGGUGUGAAUUAGCGACAUCCAGCCUGAGCUGAAGUCUCCAGCGGGGCAAAGAAAUCUUUCCAUUUGCAAACUACCAAGGCUGACUUGCUGUGCAUUUGGCGGGCCUCCUGCCCCUGAUUCUGCUGGUUUGGAGAUGCUUUCUCGCUCUUUGGUUGGCUUCUGUCUCCACACAUUGUGGGGAUCCCAGGGAUUCGUCAUAGGACUCUCGGAUCGCUGGUGCCUCCACCGUGAUCUCCGGUCUCCCUGCGGCCAGCACUGACUUCUAGCAACAGAAUCCUGCAUGAGGGCCUAGGCACAGAACUUUAUUUCCACUCUUCUGAACACAUCUAAUGUGAUGCUCUGCAAUUGUCUGAAAUUUAUCCUACCCUAAGUCAUUAUCUUGUCCCCUUCUCUGGAACCUGCUUCACUUCCCGUAUCCCAAGGGAAAAGCAUGAAUGCAGUAUGCUACUACCACAAAUUACGCAGUUGAGUUUCCCACAUUUGGAGAAAUCACAGGGAUCAGCAAGCCUUCAGUGGAAUAGAGAAGCCUUGCCCUAGGAAAAACUACCCUUGUGGUCAUGGUAUCUACCCUGCCUGUUUCCUGAGAUUGGAACUUGGAUUAUUUACUGGACCCCCACCACCACCCGAGGGGUCUCAGGAGGCGCUGCGAAGUCCAGCCUGGCUGCAUCCUGCAUGGUGUCAGCUCCUGCUCUGCUUCCUCUCCACUGCCUGUAUCUGGAAUGAUAAAGAUGAUGUAUGGGAAAUGCAAGUGUUUGAGCUAUACCUAGAGUAAGCCCUCCCCUCCCUCUUUCUCCCAACCUUCAAAAAGUUAGAGAUAUCAUUUCCUUACAAGAAUUUUGUUCUUUUACUCAAUAAUAACUUCAAAAUGAAACCUCGAUACAUUAUAAAUGAUGUCAGUAAUACUAAGGACACCUUUGGCACCCUACUUUUAGAUUUCCCCUUAGGUCUGCCCCACAUUUUUUUGGUGGAGCCUCAGAGGCCACCGCUCUUUUCUCUUUCUGGUUGCUGAUCUAUGCUCUUUCAAUGUGACUAGAAGAGCAGAUUCAGCUACAUAGGUCUUUGGGACUUACGUGUUUGCAUCUUUGGGGGAAUAUUAUCAGAAAUUUGGAUCUAAUAUGCAAUAUCUAUCUACACUCUGGAUUAAAAUAAUCACAUUGGAUUAGUCAAACACGAGUCACUAUGGUAUUUAGAAUAAAAUA
Molecule: long non-coding RNA, 1574 nt
Organism: Pan troglodytes (chimpanzee)
Lineage: Eukaryota; Metazoa; Chordata; Mammalia; Primates; Hominidae
Exons: 3
Source: RefSeq, a predicted model, not a curated record